Molecule: ribosomal RNA, 495 nt
Filed under: uncultured bacterium
Lineage: Bacteria
Description: partial 16S ribosomal RNA
Rfam family: Bacterial small subunit ribosomal RNA
Source: RNAcentral
GACGAACGCUGGCGGCGUGCCUAAUACAUGCAAGUAGAACGCUGAAGGAGGAGCUUGCUUCUCUGGAUGAGUUGCGAACGGGUGAGUAACGCGUAGGUAACCUGCCUGGUAGCGGGGGAUAACUAUUGGAAACGAUAGCUAAUACCGCAUAAGAUUGACUAUUGCAUGAUAGUCAGUUAAAAGGUGCAAUUGCAUCACUACCAGAUGGACCUGCGUUGUAUUAGCUAGUUGGUGGGGUAACGGCUCACCAAGGCGACGAUACAUAGCCGACCUGAGAGGGUGAUCGGCCACACUGGGACUGAGACACGGCCCAGACUCCUACGGGAGGCAGCAGUAGGGAAUCUUCGGCAAUGGACGGAAGUCUGACCGAGCAACGCCGCGUGAGUGAAGAAGGUUUUCGGAUCGUAAAGCUCUGUUGUAAGAGGAGAACGAGUGUGAGAGUGGAAAGUUCACACUGUGACGGUAUCUUACCAGAAAGGGACGGCUAACUACGUG